GCUGGACAACGAGCUUGCACCUUCCCGUGGUGUCCAGUGUCAGUAGUCUGCCCAUCAGCCAUCUGACGCGGUUGGACGAAACCAAGACAAGC
RNAcentral lists this non-coding RNA (92 nucleotides) under unclassified sequences. The record is from RNAcentral.